This 495-nucleotide ribosomal RNA is filed under the name uncultured bacterium. RNAcentral's name for it is "partial 16S ribosomal RNA". It matches the Rfam family "Bacterial small subunit ribosomal RNA", at positions 28 to 505 of the family's 1533-position model. The record is from RNAcentral.
GAUGAACGCUGGCGGCGUGCCUAAUACAUGCAAGUCGAGCGAACGGACGAGAAGCUUGCUUCUCUGAUGUUAGCGGCGGACGGGUGAGUAACACGUGGAUAACCUACCUAUAAGACUGGGAUAACUUCGGGAAACCGUAGCUAAUACCGGAUAAUAUUUUGAACCGCAUGGUUCAAAAGUGAAAGACGGUCUUGCUGUCACUUAUAGAUGGAUCCGCGCUGCAUUAGCUAGUUGGUAAGGUAACGGCUUACCAAGGCAACGAUGCAUAGCCGACCUGAGAGGGUGAUCGGCCACACUGGAACUGAGACACGGUCCAGACUCCUACGGGAGGCAGCAGUAGAGAAUCUUCCGCAAUGGGCGAAAGCCUGACGGAGCAACGCCGCGUGAGUGAUGAAGGUCUUCGGAUCGUAAAACUCUGUUAUUAGGGAAGAACAUAUGUGUAAGUAACUGUGCACAUCUUGACGGUACUUAAUCAGAAAGCCACGGCUAACUACG